This 946-nucleotide ribosomal RNA is filed under the name uncultured archaeon. RNAcentral's name for it is "bacterial SSU rRNA". It matches the Rfam family "Archaeal small subunit ribosomal RNA", at positions 1 to 923 of the family's 1478-position model. The record is from RNAcentral.
UUCCGGUUGAUCCUGCCGGACCACACUGCUAUCGGGAUGGGACUAAGACAUGCUAGUCGUGCGUCUCCAAGCUAUGAUGGAGAAGCGGCAUACAGCUCAGUAACACGUGGCUAACCUACCCUUAGGAUAGAAACACCUCCGGGAAACUGGAGUUAAUUUCUAAUAGGUGAUGAAUACUGGAAUGUGACAUCACUCAAAGGGCAUUUAAAUCAUGCUUUUAGAUACUGCCUAAGGAUGGGGCCGCGACCGAUCAGGUUGUUGGUGAGGUAAAGGCUCACCAAGCCUUUAACCGGUACGGGCCGUGAGAGCGGGAGCCCGGAGAUGGGCACUGAGAUAAGGGCCCAGGCCCUACGGGGCGCAGCAGUCGCGAAACCUUCGCAAUACGCGCAAGCGUGACAGAGGUCAUCCCGAGUGCCGUCCGCUGAGGAUGGCUUUUGCCCAGUGUAAAUAGCUGGGAGAAUAAGGAGAGGGCAAGCCUGGUGUCAGCCGCCGCGGUAAUACCAGCUCUCCGAGUGGUGUGGAUACUUAUUGGGCCUAAAGCAUUCGUAGCCGGCUAGACAAGUCUCUCGUUAAAUCCAGCGUUUCAAUCGUUGGGCUGCGAGAGAUACUUUUUAGCUAGGGGACGGGAGCGGUCGACGGUAUUUCCGGGGUAGGGGUGAAAUCCUAUAAUCCCGGGAGGACCACCAGUGGCGAAGGCUGUUGACUAGAACGUGCCCGACGGUGAGGGAUGAAAGCUGGGGGGAGCGAACCGGAUUAGAUACCCGGGUAGUCCCAGCCGUAAACAAUGCAGGCUAGUGUUAGAGCGGCUACGAGCCGCCCUAGUGCCGCAGGGAAGCCGUUAAGCCUGCCGCCUGGGGAGAACGGCCGCAAGGCUGAAACUUAAAGGAAUUGGCGGGGGAGCACACAAGGGGUGAAGCUUGCGGUUUAAUUGGAGUCAACGCCGGAA